RNAcentral lists this long non-coding RNA (1439 nucleotides) under Hordeum vulgare. Its description in RNAcentral is "long non-coding RNA (HVUL_LNC017244)". Lineage: Eukaryota; Viridiplantae; Streptophyta; Magnoliopsida; Poales; Poaceae. The record is from RNAcentral.
UUAUAAGCUUAUAUGGAAGAAUUCAUGGAGAACCUUUGGAGCAAGUCAAACACAAGUGUUCUAAUAUAGAAUGGCCGUGCUGAGUACUGGUUGAAGAAGGGAUGAGCAGGUUUGAUUAUAAAUUACUUCACUUGCAUUACUCCGUUACAGUAUGAUAGUGUUUAGAUGCAUAUAAACCGCGACAUAUUUAUUUACCAUGUUUUGCUUGUCAUUGGAGUAACGAUCUGGAUGGUGUGUGUAGGGAGGAAGGAUCAGAUCUGUGAGCACAUUGAUUAUGAUGUUUGCCGAUGUGAAGGCAAGUAUUUCAUGUGCGACUACUCAUCCAAGUUUGUAAUCUUCCAUUUGGUCUCUUGUGAUGAUUAUCCUCAAAAUAGGGGAUUUUGUUUUGCUUAGUCUCCUAUAUAUACGCUUCGUGCACCUAUUGAUGCUACAACUACAAGUUCAGUAAUCAGAAAAGCCCCGCAAGCACUGCAACUGUUCCUCAAGUUUCAUCAUUUUCUUCUAAUGCAACAGUUAGCUAUAUGCGGGAAAUGGAAUCAAAGCACACCAACCUGUUCUUUUUCUAUUUCAAACCAUUGAAGACCAUGAUAUUACGAACUAUUUGUUUGUUGAUUUUUCCAAUCAGUAAUUGUAAUACCUCCUUGGGUCUUUACUAUUUGCCCUAUCUUGUUGACACAUGUAUGAACACUUAACUUGUCUUCAUUCUCAGUUUUUCCGGAUCUCAGAAGUACUAGUAAUUUCUUAAAGAUUGUAGAACUUGUAUACUUUUCUUGAAUUCAUGUGGGACAGCAAUACGACAAAGCAUUUGAUAAUUUUAUAUAGGAUUGGAUUUAAUAAAGCUAUGUCUAUUGUAGUUUAAGCUUUAGCUUGUCACUUGUAUGAUCUUCUGACAUUGUGUCCUCUCCAGGAGGUGGAGAGUUUACACAAUAGGAACUUGAUAUGAUAUGUAUUUGGAUUUACUAGUGUUUAAUACUUGUAACUUUAUUUAUGGAUGAAACCUAAGUUGGGUCGUGCAUCCACAUAAAGCCCCCUAAAAUGAUCACUACUUGCAUCCAUGAAUUGCUUAUACAUUGUUUGCGUUCUACUCUCAACUUGUUGCAUUUUUCAUAUUUCCUGUUAUGCAUUUUCUGCUUCUCAUGUGUUGUCCCUUCUAAUGUCAGGAUGCUUCUCAGAAUUCUAGAAGAGGAAGACAAUGGAGCCUCGUUGUUGUAUGAUGUGUCUACUUGUUUUAUAGUUGAAUAUAUAGUAUUAUUUUUUGUAGUACCAUUUAUCUGGGCUGUAAUACCAUUUGUCUACGGUGUGUAAUCUUAGUUUGUGUGUGCUGGGCUAUUGGAGAAUUAUCUGUAUAAUUUUACAUUUGUGUGAUGGGCAUAAAAUAUGAACAAUACUUCUGUAAUACCUAAGAACAUUUCCUGUACUGAACAAUACUUUUGUAGUAC